CCUACGGGAGGCAGCAGUGAGGAAUAUUGGUCAAUGGUCGGGAGACUGAACCAGCCAAGCCGCGUGAGGGAUGCAGGUACAGAGUAUCGUAAACCUCUUUUGUCAGGGAACAAAGCCUGGGACGCGUCCCCGGAUGAGUGUACCUGACGAAAAAGCAUCGGCUAACUCCGUGCCAGCAGCCGCGGUAAUACGGAGGAUGCGAGCGUUAUCCGGCUUUAUUGGGUUUAACGGGUGCGCAGGCGGUCUGUUAAGUCAGCGGUCAAAGCCCGGGGCUCAACCCCGGCCCGCCGUUGACACUGGCAGUAUCGAGUUGGAGAGAAGUAGGCGGAAGGCGCGGUGUAGCGGUGAAAUGCAGAGAUAUCGCGCAGAACUCCGAUUGCGAAGGCAGCAUGCCGGCUCCACACUGACGCUGAGGCACGAAAGCGUGGGUAUCGAACAGGAUUAGAUACCCGAGUAGUC
This 459-nucleotide ribosomal RNA is filed under the name uncultured bacterium. RNAcentral describes it as "partial 16S ribosomal RNA". It matches the Rfam family "Bacterial small subunit ribosomal RNA", at positions 338 to 795 of the family's 1533-position model. The record is from RNAcentral.